CCUACGGGUGGCUGCAGUGAGGAAUAUUGCGCAAUGGGGGAAACCCUGACGCAGCAACGCCGCGUGAGUGAGGAAGGUUUUCGGACCGUAAAGCUCUGUCGAGCGGGAAGAAGUGCAUGGUGGCUAAUAUCCAUUAUGCUUGACGGUACCGCUAAAGGAAGCACCGGCUAACUCCGUGCCAGCAGCCGCGGUAAUACGGGGGGUGCUAGCGUGCGUCAAGAUCGUGGGGCGGGCUGGAUAAGUAGGCGGCGAAAGCCCUGGGCUUAACCUAGGAAGUGCAUUUGAAACUGUUCAGCUUGAGUAAGGGAGAGGAAAGUGGAAUUCCUGGUGUAGAGGUGAAAUUCGUAGAUAUCAGGAGGAACACCGGUGGCGAAGGCGACUUUCUGGCCCUAUACUGACGCUGAGACGCGAGAGCGUGGGUAGCAAACAGGAUUAGAUACCCUAGUAGUC
Molecule: ribosomal RNA, 450 nt
Filed under: uncultured bacterium
Lineage: Bacteria
Description: partial 16S ribosomal RNA
Rfam family: Bacterial small subunit ribosomal RNA
Source: RNAcentral